UAUGACAGCAGACUUUAGGAAAUCACAAGAUGCAAGCUUAAUUAAUAGCAUGUCCUUAAUUUCCAUUGAGUAAUACUUGCAGUGUUAGAGCAAUUGCUUCCACCCUGGACUACAGUAGUGGAAUAUGUAGACUACGGUAAGUAUCUCAUUCCAUAUUCCUACCCUAAGUCAGAGUAAUGUGUGAUUUAACCUGUUCUAAUUCAGAUAAA
This 209-nucleotide long non-coding RNA is filed under the name Macaca mulatta (Rhesus monkey). RNAcentral describes it as "lncRNA (ENSMMUG00000062624.1)". Lineage: Eukaryota; Metazoa; Chordata; Mammalia; Primates; Cercopithecidae. The record is from RNAcentral.